RNAcentral lists this signal recognition particle RNA (100 nucleotides) under Bacteroidales bacterium. RNAcentral's name for it is "signal recognition particle sRNA small type". It matches the Rfam family "Bacteroidales small SRP". Rfam says of the family: The non-coding component of the signal recognition particle in Bacteroides The record is from RNAcentral. RNAcentral also lists the same sequence under 1 other name. Lineage: Bacteria; Pseudomonadati; Bacteroidota; Bacteroidia; Bacteroidales.
GGGUAAGUCCUACACGGCCAGCUCCCAAUGAACUCCCCCAGGGCUUGAUCGCAGCAAGGGUAAUUGGUUGUAGCGGCGCGAUGUAGUAAGCUUACCCUUU